GACGAACGCUGGCGGCGUGCUUAACACAUGCAAGUCGAACGGAAAGGCCCUGCUUUUGUGGGGUGCUCGAGUGGCGAACGGGUGAGUAACACGUGAGUAACCUGCCCUUGACUUUGGGAUAACUUCAGGAAACUGGGGCUAAUACCGGAUAGGAGCUCCUGCUGCAUGGUGGAGGUUGGAAAGUUUCGGCGGUUGGUGAUGGACUCGCGGCUUAUCAGCUUGUUGGUGGGGUAGUGGCUUACCAAGGCUUUGACGGGUAGCCGGCCUGAGAGGGUGACCGGCCACAUUGGGACUGAGAUACGGCCCAGACUCCUACGGGAGGCAGCAGUGGGGAAUAUUGCACAAUGGGCGGAAGCCUGAUGCAGCAACGCCGCGUGCGGGAUGACGGCCUUCGGGUUGUAAGCCGCUUUCGCCUGUGACGAAGCGUGAGUGACGGUAAUGGGUAAAGAAGCACCGGCUAACUACGUG
RNAcentral lists this ribosomal RNA (468 nucleotides) under uncultured bacterium. Its description in RNAcentral is "partial 16S ribosomal RNA". It matches the Rfam family "Bacterial small subunit ribosomal RNA", at positions 28 to 507 of the family's 1533-position model. The record is from RNAcentral.